AGUUUCUGAUUUAUUUUCAUCCUUUUUAAUUUUCCUUCUCCUCAUUAGGGCUGUGAAUCCCCUCUCUGGGAACCUGGAACUUCCUAUGCAUGAAGAAAAACUGUUUACAUGAAAGAAAGCUGUGGGGAGAGAUCAAGAACCAUGAAUCAUGCAAAGCCUUGCUCAGCUGAAGGCAUCAAGCAGGCAUCAAGCCACAAGGGAGAGAAUCCUGGCUUGCAGUCCAAAGGCUUUUCCACAGGUAGCACUUUGCCCAAAAUCCCAUCCCAGUUCGCUUUUCUCAAGAUAAUUUUUUGUGCCUUCUGGCUCUGUGUUCAGCCUUUUUUUUGUCCUUAAUGCCCCAUUGUUUUAUCUUGCUUUUUUUCCCCCCAAACCCACAAAAACUCAACAACUGUUAAAUCUACUGAACUGUGAGUCUGUAGGUAUGUGUUGGAGCUCCCAUGGUUUCAGCUGUCAGAUCCUGGGAAGUUAUUUACAGAAGAACAUAAUGGCCAUAAGCAUUAGUGGAAAACCAAGAAAUUAACUGUCAGAGACACUUCAAAGAUGUUUUCAGUCUUUGCAGCUAAGAACUGAUUACUUCUUUGUUAUCAAUAUUUUUUCCAUAAAGUUUGAUUCCAUUGCUGUCAUGAACUUCCUAAAAUGAAAGCGUCAAAAUAAAUUUUUAUUUUGG
Molecule: long non-coding RNA, 667 nt
Filed under: Junco hyemalis (dark-eyed junco)
Lineage: Eukaryota; Metazoa; Chordata; Aves; Passeriformes; Passerellidae
Description: lncRNA (ENSJHYG00000005090.1)
Source: RNAcentral